CUAACUACCAUGCUCCCUCACAGUUCCCAUAAUUCCCAGCUCAGCCAUAUCAUAGAGUAGUGAUUACUAUAUGAUGUGUAGAUGUUGGGAAUUAUGGGAACCACGAGGGAGCAUGGUAGUUA
This 122-nucleotide microRNA precursor is filed under the name Pelobates cultripes (western spadefoot toad). The record is from RNAcentral. Lineage: Eukaryota; Metazoa; Chordata; Amphibia; Anura; Pelobatidae.